UGCUGGUAUAUGCUCAUGAGACGCAACAUGAAUAAAUCAUAAGUUACGCUUAUGAAGAUCCGUUUGAUGGAUGGCAACCAUUGUUGCAAAACUACGAGGUAGAUGGGAUGACUAAUCCAAUAGAGCUUUCAGGUUGCUUCGGGUUAGGCUUGGUAUGUGGUUUCGGGUCAGUUUCGAUAACUGAUUAUAGGUAAAAUCGACAACGGGAUGCCAUCCCCUCAAUCUUCCUCCCCCCGGAUUGAUGUUUAUUAAUGUGUGGUUUUAUUUGAAUCGAACAGCGCGGAAACCUGCUAUUGGCUUUAUUAACCGAAAUUGUAUUCCAACUGUUGUGAUUCUUUUAGGUUUAUUUGUAAUUUGCUCUGCUAGAUAUAUCUUUUUCUUUUUUAAAAAUAUCAGCAUGAUUAAUAUCCAUAGGUGUGGUCUUCUUAGGAUCUUAUUCUUAAUUAUGUUGAUGUAGUUUAUGUAAUGAAUAACAUUAUUUUUCUGCGUACACAUAUUGAUGAUGACCAU
This is a long non-coding RNA of Helianthus annuus (common sunflower), 510 nucleotides long. RefSeq lists it as uncharacterized. The transcript has 3 exons. The record is from RefSeq and is a predicted model, not a curated record. NCBI's taxonomy places the organism in Eukaryota, Viridiplantae, Streptophyta, Magnoliopsida, Asterales, Asteraceae.